AUGCCAUGAAGAGAACAUCUCUUGAGCAACUCCUUAAAUCUUUCCCAAGCCUCAUACAAGCUUUCAUCUUCCAGCUGAUGAAAAAAAGUGAUCUCAUUCUGUAAUUUU
RNAcentral lists this small nucleolar RNA (108 nucleotides) under Citrus sinensis (sweet orange). Its description in RNAcentral is "Plant small nucleolar RNA R71". It matches the Rfam family "Plant small nucleolar RNA R71". From Rfam's summary of the family: R71 is a member of the C/D box family of snoRNAs containing the C (UGAUGA) and D (CUGA) box motifs. Multiple nearly identical copies of this snoRNA have been identified in Arabidopsis, and it is thought to function as a 2'-O-ribose methylation guide for 18S ribosomal RNA. The record is from Rfam by way of RNAcentral. RNAcentral also lists the same sequence under 2 other names. Lineage: Eukaryota; Viridiplantae; Streptophyta; Magnoliopsida; Sapindales; Rutaceae.